This 72-nucleotide transfer RNA is filed under the name Salmo salar (Atlantic salmon). It matches the Rfam family "tRNA". Rfam says of the family: Transfer RNA (tRNA) molecules are approximately 80 nucleotides in length. The record is from Rfam by way of RNAcentral. Lineage: Eukaryota; Metazoa; Chordata; Actinopteri; Salmoniformes; Salmonidae.
UCCCGUAUGGCUCAGUUGGUAGAGCAUGGUGCUGCCAAUGCCAGAGUUGUGGGUUUGAUUCCCGCUGGGGAC